Molecule: ribosomal RNA, 446 nt
Filed under: uncultured prokaryote
Description: bacterial SSU rRNA
Rfam family: Bacterial small subunit ribosomal RNA
Source: RNAcentral
UCGAGAAUCUUCCGCAAUGGACGCAAGUCUGACGGAGCGACGCCGCGUGCGGGAUGAAGGCCUUCGGGUUGUAAACCGCUGUCAGUGGGGAGGAAAUCCAUGGUGGCCAUCCAUCAUGGUUGACCGAUCUUCAGAGGAAGUACGGGCUAAGUUCGUGCCAGCAGCCGCGGUAACACGAACCGUACGAACGUUAUUCGGAAUCACUGGGCUUAAAGAGUCCGUAGGCGGCCUCGUAGGUGAGGUGUGAAAUCCCACAGCCCAACUGUGGAAUUGCGCUUCAAACCACAAGGCUCGAGGGAGAUAGAGGUGAGCGGAACUGAUGGUGGAGCGGUGAAAUGCGUUGAUAUCAUCAGGAACACCGGUGGCGAAAGCGGCUCACUGGGUCUCUUCUGACGCUGAGGGACGAAAGCUAGGGGAGCGAACGGGAUUAGAUACCCCCGUAGUCC